This 174-nucleotide unclassified non-coding RNA is filed under the name soil metagenome. Its description in RNAcentral is "partial internal transcribed spacer 1". The record is from RNAcentral.
CAAGAAGCCGAAAGGCUACUUAAAACCAUCGCGAACUUAUCCAAGUUGCUUCGGCGGCGCGGCUCCCCUCACGGGGGACCGCAGCCCCCGCCUCUCAGGAGGUAAGGGGGCAGCCGCCGGAGGUGCGAAACUCUGUAUUAUAGUGGUAUCUCUGAGUAUAAAACAAAUAAGUUA